GUUUGAUCCUGGCUCAAAUUGAACGCUGGCGGCGUGCUUUACACAUGCAAGUCGAACGGCAGCUUGGGUAGUGCUUGCACUACUUGAUGGCGAGGGGCGAACGGGUGAGUAAUACAUCGAAACGUACCUAUUAGUUGGGGAUAACUAAUUGAAAGAUUGGCUAAUACCGAAUAAUCUCUGAGGAGGAAAGGCGGGGACUCGCGAGGGCCUGUUGCUGAUAAAGUGUUCUUUGUUUGAUUAGCUAGUUGGUGGGGUAAAGGCUUACCAAGGCAAUGAUCGAUAGCUGUUCUGAGAGGAAGAUCAGCCACACUGGAACUGAGACACGG
Molecule: ribosomal RNA, 326 nt
Filed under: uncultured bacterium
Lineage: Bacteria
Description: bacterial SSU rRNA
Rfam family: Bacterial small subunit ribosomal RNA
Source: RNAcentral